AGUGAACGCUGGCGGCGUGCUUAACACAUGCAAGUCGAACGAGAACGGAUUAUAGCUUGCUAUAAUUGUCAGCUAAGUGGCGCACGGGUGAGUAACGUAUAGGUAAUAUGCCUCUUACUAAGGGAUAACAAAUGGAAACGUUUGCUAAUACCUUAUACUCCUUAUUAACAUAAGUUAAUAAGGGAAAGAUUUAUUGGUAAGAGAUUAGCCUGUAUUGUAUCAGUUAGUUGGUGGGGUAAUGGCUUACCAAGACUAUGACACAUAACUGGUUUGAGAGGAUGGUCAGUCACACUGGAACUGAGACACUGUCCAGACUCCUACGGGAGGCAGCAGUGGGGAAUAUUGCACAAUGGACGAAAGUCUGAUGCAGCAACGCCGCGUGGAGGAUGACACAUUUCGGUGCGUAAACUCCUUUUAUAUGAGAAGAUAAUGACGGUAUUAUAUGAAUAAGCACCGGCUAACUCCGUGCCAGCAGCCGCCGUAA
Molecule: ribosomal RNA, 484 nt
Filed under: uncultured bacterium
Lineage: Bacteria
Description: partial 16S ribosomal RNA
Rfam family: Bacterial small subunit ribosomal RNA
Source: RNAcentral